AGAACGAACGCUGGCGGCAGGCUUAACACAUGCAAGUCGAACGCUCCGCAAGGAGAGUGGCAGACGGGUGAGUAACACGUGGGAACGUACCCUUUACUACGGAAUAACGCAUGGAAACGUGUGCUAAUACCGUAUGUGCCCUUCGGGGGAAAGAUUUAUCGGUAAAGGAUCGGCCCGCGUUGGAUUAGCUAGUUGGUGGGGUAAAGGCCUACCAAGGCGACGAUCCAUAGCUGGUCUGAGAGGAUGAUCAGCCACAUUGGGACUGAGACACGGCCCAAACUCCUACGGGAGGCAGCAGUGGGGAAUAUUGGACAAUGGGCGCAAGCCUGAUCCAGCCAUGCCGCGUGAGUGAUGAAGGCCCUAGGGUUGUAAAGCUCUUUCACCGGAGAAGAUAAUGACGGUAUCCGGAGAAGAAGCCCGGCUAACUUCGCGCCAGCAGCCGC
RNAcentral lists this ribosomal RNA (443 nucleotides) under uncultured bacterium. Its description in RNAcentral is "SSU rRNA". It matches the Rfam family "Bacterial small subunit ribosomal RNA", at positions 26 to 518 of the family's 1533-position model. The record is from RNAcentral.